AUGCAGUGGCUAGAAACAAUGAGUCAUAUGUGGGUUGACCGGAGAAAGAAGGUCAUGAGGUUUAAGUACCAAGGAGCAAGAAUCACACUCAGAGGAGUUAAAGAUAAACUCAAUUCUUGCACAGCCAUUUCUGGGAAACACUUACAAGGACUCCUCAAUACUGGAGCAGUUGAGCAAGUAAUCCACCUCUGCCAUAUGGCAGAGAGACCCAUGACAGAAACCUGCAUUCCACCUGAAGUUCAGCCACUUAUUGACAAGCAUCAGCAACUGUUCACUGCUCCUGACUCUCUCCCUCCCCAUAGAGAGUUUGACCAUCAAAUACCUUUGUUACCUGGAGCAAAACCUGUCAGUGUUAAACCAUACAGGAGCUGGAAUACCUUGGUCAUGUGA
Molecule: ribosomal RNA, 390 nt
Filed under: Triticum aestivum (bread wheat)
Lineage: Eukaryota; Viridiplantae; Streptophyta; Magnoliopsida; Poales; Poaceae
Description: partial small subunit ribosomal RNA
Source: RNAcentral